CCUACGGGAGGCAGCAGUGGGGAAUAUUGCACAAUGGGGGAAACCCUGAUGCAGCAACGCCGCGUGAAGGAUGAAGGUUUUCGGCUUGUAAACUCCUAUCAUCAGGGACGAUAAUGACGGUAUUUCCCGAAUAAGCACCGGCUAACUACGUGCCAGCAGCCGCGGUAAUACGUCGGGUGCAAGCGUUACUCGGAAUCACUGGGUGUAAAGGGUGAGUAGUCGGCAUCGUAAGUCGGAUGUGAAAGCCUAGGGCUUAACCAGAGAACUGCAUUUGAAACUGUUAUGCUAGAGUACAGGAGAGGUAAGCGGAAUUCCUAGUGUAGCGGUGAAAUGCGUAGAUAUUAGGAGGAACACUCGUGGCGAAGGCGGCUUGCUGGA
RNAcentral lists this ribosomal RNA (378 nucleotides) under uncultured bacterium. RNAcentral's name for it is "partial 16S ribosomal RNA". It matches the Rfam family "Bacterial small subunit ribosomal RNA", at positions 338 to 733 of the family's 1533-position model. The record is from RNAcentral.